RNAcentral lists this ribosomal RNA (254 nucleotides) under uncultured bacterium. RNAcentral describes it as "partial 16S ribosomal RNA". It matches the Rfam family "Bacterial small subunit ribosomal RNA", at positions 524 to 776 of the family's 1533-position model. The record is from RNAcentral.
UACAGAGGGGGCGAGCGUUGUUCGGAAUUACUGGGCGUAAAGGGCGCGUAGGCGGCCUCUUAAGUCGAACGUGAAAUCCCCGGGCUCAACCCGGGAACUGCGUCCGAUACUGGGAGGCUUGAAUCCGGGAGAGGGAUGUGGAAUUCCAGGUGUAGCGGUGAAAUGCGUAGAUAUCUGGAAGGAACACCGGUGGCGAAGGCGGCAUCCUGGACCGGUAUUGACGCUGAGGCGCGAAAGCGUGGGGAGCAAACAGG